UAGUCCACGCCGUAAACGAUGGAUACUAGCUGUUCGUUUUGCAUUGGCAAGAUGAGUGGCCAAGCGAAAGUGAUAAGUAUCCCACCUGGGGAGUACGUUCGCAAGAAUGAAACUCAAAGGAAUUGACGGGGCCCGCACAAGCGGUGGAGCAUGUGGUUUAAUUCGAUGAUACGCGAGGAACCUUACCAAGGCUUAAAUGGGAAUUGACAGAUUUGGAAACAGAUUUUUCUUCGGACAAUUUCCAAGGUGCUGCAUGGUUGUCGUCAGCUCGUGCCGUGAGGUGUCAGGUUAAGUCCUAUAACGAGCGCAACCCCUGUUGUUAGUUACCAGCACGAAAGAUGGGGACUCUAGCAAGACUGCCGGUGUAAACCGCGAGGAAGGUGGGGAUGACGUCAAAUCAUCACGGGCCCUUACGUCUUGGGGCUACACACGUGCUACAAUGGUAGGAACAAUGAGUGGCCAUCACGCGAGUGAGCGCAAAAUCUAAAAAACCUAUACUCAGUUCGGAUCGUA
Molecule: ribosomal RNA, 513 nt
Filed under: uncultured bacterium
Lineage: Bacteria
Description: bacterial SSU rRNA
Rfam family: Bacterial small subunit ribosomal RNA
Source: RNAcentral